Molecule: unclassified non-coding RNA, 301 nt
Filed under: Hevea brasiliensis (rubber tree)
Lineage: Eukaryota; Viridiplantae; Streptophyta; Magnoliopsida; Malpighiales; Euphorbiaceae
Source: RNAcentral
GGCGUCUUCUUCACUCGAUUUGGAAGUCAAAAAUGACAAACAUGUCUUGCAGAACUUGCUCUUUUUUCUUCAUGUCCCCAGGACUGGAGGGCGAACAUAUUUUCAUUGUUUUCUGAAAAAGCUUUAUGCCAGUUCUUUGGAGUGUCCACGUUCGUAUGAUAAGUUAAGGAUUGAUCCAAGAAAACCAAAAUGCCGCUUGUUGGUUACUCAUGACGACUACAGCAUGAUGAACAAACUUCACAAGGAUGAAACUUCUGUGGUGACAAUACUUAGGAAUCCAAUUGACCGUGUUUUUAGUGCC